UACCUGCGCCCCAAGUGGUAUCCAGUAUUAUUGGGCCUAAAGCGUCCGUAGCCGGCCUGUUAAGUUCUCGGUGAAAUUCACUAGUAGACUAGUGAGCUUGUCGGGGAUACUGCCAGGCUUGGGACUGGGAGAGGGUAGAGGUACUCCUGGGGGAGGGGUAAAAUCCUAUAAUCCUAGGGGGACCACCUGUGGCGAAGGCGUCUACCUAGAACAGUUCCGACGGUGAGGAACGAAAGCUAGGGGAGCGAUCGGG
RNAcentral lists this ribosomal RNA (253 nucleotides) under uncultured archaeon. Its description in RNAcentral is "partial 16S ribosomal RNA". It matches the Rfam family "Archaeal small subunit ribosomal RNA", at positions 474 to 727 of the family's 1478-position model. The record is from RNAcentral.